GACGAACGCUGUUCGGCGUGCUUAACACAUGCAAGUCGAACGGAAAGGCCCUGCUUUUGUGGGGUGCUCGAGUAGCGAACGGGUGAGUAACACGUGAGUAACCUGCCCUUGACUUUGGGAUAACUUCAGGAAACUGGGGCUAAUACCGGAUAGGAGCUCCUGCUGCAUGGUGGGGGUUGGAAAGUUUCGGCGGUUGGGGAUGGACUCGCGGCUUAUCAGCUUGUUGGUGGGGUAGUGGCUUACCAAGGCUUUGACGGGUAGCCGGCCUGAGAGGGUGACCGGCCACAUUGGGACUGAGAUACGGCCCAGACUCCUACGGGAGGCAGCAGUGGGGAAUAUUGCACAAUGGGCGGAAGCCUGAUGCAGCAACGCCGCGUGCGGGAUGACGGCCUUCGGGUUGUAAACCGCUUUCGCCUGUGACGAAGCGUGAGUGACGGUAAUGGGUAAAGAAGCACCGGCUAACUACGUGCCAGCAGCCGCGGUGAUACGUAGGGUGCGAGCGUUGUCCGGAUUUAUUGGGCGUAAAGGGCUCGUAGGUGGUUGAUCGCGUCGGAAGUGUAAUCUUGGGGCUUAACCCUGAGCGUGCUUUCGAUACGGGUUGACUUGAGGAAGGUAGGGGAGAAUGGAAUUCCUGGUGGAGCGGUGGAAUGCGCAGAUAUCAGGAGGAACACCAGUGGCGAAGGCGGUUCUCUGGGCCUUUCCUGACGCUGAGGAGCGAAAGCGUGGGGAGCGAACAGGCUUAGAUACCCUGGUAGUCCACGCUGUAAACGGUGGGUACUAGGUGUGGGGUCCAUUCCACGGGUUCCGUGCCGUAGCUAACGCUUUAAGUACCCCGCCUGGGGAGUACGGCCACAAGGCUAAAACUCAAAGGAAUUGACGGGGCCCCGCACAAGCGGCGGAGCAUGCGGAUUAAUUCGAUGCAACGCGUAGAACCUUACCUGGGUUUGACAUGGAUCGGGAGUGCUCAGAGAUGGGUGUGCCUCUUUUGGGGUCGGUUCACAGGUGGUGCAUGCCUGUCGUCAGCUCGUGUCGUGAGAUGUUGGGUUAAGUCCCGCAACGAGCGCAACCCUUGUUCACUGUUGCCAGCACGUUAUGGUGGGGACUCAGUGGAGACCGCCGGGGUCAACUCGGAGGAAGGUGGGGAUGACGUCAAGUCCUCAUGCCCCUUAUGUCCAGGGCUUCACGCAUGCUACAAUGGCUGGUACAGAGAGUGGCGAGCCUGUGAGGGUGAGCGAAUCUCGGAAAGCCGGUCUCAGUUCGGAUUGGGGUCUGCAACUCGACCUCAUGAAGUCGGAGUCGCUAGUAAUCGAAGAUCAGCAACGCUGCGGUGAACACGUUCCCGGGGCC
Molecule: ribosomal RNA, 1347 nt
Filed under: uncultured bacterium
Lineage: Bacteria
Description: bacterial SSU rRNA
Rfam family: Bacterial small subunit ribosomal RNA
Source: RNAcentral